RNAcentral lists this ribosomal RNA (425 nucleotides) under uncultured bacterium. RNAcentral's name for it is "bacterial SSU rRNA". It matches the Rfam family "Bacterial small subunit ribosomal RNA", at positions 355 to 772 of the family's 1533-position model. The record is from RNAcentral.
UGGGGAAUAUUGGACAAUGGGGGCAACCCUGAUCCAGCGACGCCGCGUGUGUGAAGAAGGCCUGUGGGUUGUAAAGCACUUUUAGUGGGGAUGAAAAGCCGAGGGCUAAUACCUUUCGGUCUUGACCUAACCCAAAGAAAAAGCACCGGCUAACUACGUGCCAGCAGCCGCGGUAAGACGUAGGGGGCGAGCGUUGUCCGGAUUUACUGGGCGUAAAGCGCGUGUAGGCGGCCUGCUAAGUGGCGUGUGAAAGCUCACCGCUCAACGGUGAGAGGCCGCGCCAUACUGGUGGGCUUGAGGGUGGCAGAGGGUGAUGGAAUUCCCGGUGUAGCGGUGAAAUGCGUAGAUAUCGGGAGGAACGCCAGUGGCGAAGGCGGUCACCUGGGCCAUCCCUGACGCUGAGACGCGAAAGCUGGGGGAGCGAA